CCUAAGGUAGCGAAAUUCCUUGUCGGGUAAGUUCCGACCCGCACGAAUGGUGUAACGAUCUGGGCACUGUCUCAACUACCCACCCGGCGAAAUUGUAGUACCGGUGAAGAUGCCGGUUACCUGCGGCAAGACGGAAAGACCCCAUGGAGCUUUACUGUAGCCUGAUAUUGGGUUUCGGAAAUCUAUGUACAGGAUAGGCGGGAGACUGGGAAACAUGAGCGUCAGCUUGUGUGGAGUCGAUGUUGGGAUACCGCCCUUAGGUUUCUGGAAUUCUAACCUGCGGCCGUGAAUCCGGUCGGGGGACAUUGUCAGGUGGGCAGUUUGACUGGGGCGGUCGCCUCCGAAAAGGUAACGGAGGCGCUCAAAGGUUAGCUCAGCACGGACGGAAACCGUGCCUCUGAGUGUAAACGCAAAAGCUAGCCUAACUGCGAGGGUGACGGCCCGAGCAGUAACGAAAGUUGGAGUUAGUGAUCCGGCGGUAUGUGAAUGGAAAUGCCGUCGCUCAACGGAUAAAAGCUACCCUGGGGAUAACAGGCUGAUCUCCCCCAAGAGUCCACAUCGACGGGGAGGUUUGGCACCUCGAUGUCGGCUCAUCACAUCCUGGGGCUGUAUUCGGUCCCAAGGGUUCGGCUGUUCGCCGAUUAAAGUGGUACGCGAGCUGGGUUCAGAACGUCGCGAGACAGUUCGGUCCCUAUCUGUCGUGGGCGCAGGAUAUUUGAGGAGCUCUGUCCUUAGUACGAGAGGACCGGGAUGGACGUACCUCUGGUGCACCAGUUGUCAUGCCAAUGGCACGGCUGGGCAGCUAUGUACGGAACGGAUAAACGCUGAAAGCAUCUAAGCGUGAAGCCGACUCCAAGAUUAGAUAUCCCAUCGUAUAACGAGUAAGACCCCUUGAAGACUACGAGGUUGAUAGGCUGCGUGUGUAAGUGCCGUGAGGCAUUCAGCUUGGCAGUACUAAUAGGUCGAGGGCUUGACCAC
Molecule: ribosomal RNA, 978 nt
Filed under: human gut metagenome
Description: bacterial LSU rRNA
Rfam family: Bacterial large subunit ribosomal RNA
Source: RNAcentral